Molecule: ribosomal RNA, 253 nt
Filed under: uncultured bacterium
Lineage: Bacteria
Description: partial 16S ribosomal RNA
Rfam family: Bacterial small subunit ribosomal RNA
Source: RNAcentral
UACAGAGACUGCAAGCGUUAUUCGGAUUCACUGGGCGUAAAGCGCGUGUAGGCGGCUUGGUAAGUCCGUUCUGAAAGCCCGGGGCUCAACCCCGGGAGGCGGAUGGAUACUGUCAAGCUCGAGUCCGGAAGAGGCAAGUGGAAUUCCCGGUGUAGCGGUGAAAUGCGUAGAUAUUGGGAGGAACACCAGUGGCGAAGGCGGCUCACUGGACCGGAACUGACGCUGAGGCGCGAAAGCGUGGGGAGCAAACAGG